Molecule: long non-coding RNA, 2317 nt
Organism: Paramisgurnus dabryanus
Lineage: Eukaryota; Metazoa; Chordata; Actinopteri; Cypriniformes; Cobitidae
Source: RefSeq, a predicted model, not a curated record
CACCUUGACGUCAAUUUGACAUCAACAAAUAGUCAAGAUUUUGACCACCAUGUAUAACGUGCAUGAAUAUGCAUAUUUUCAUUAUAUUUUGUAAUUAUUUCCUUGUGGUUGUAAAGAGGCCCAACAAAGGUAUCGAUCUGACAUGUUUUUUCUGGUCCCUAUAUCUCAGGUCAAUAUCAUUGACAUUAAAUCGAUGUUGAUUUGAUGUCAGGAAAUAAGAUGUCAAAUUGAUGUUAAAUUUAUGUCAAAACAAUGUCUGUAAAAGUAUAUUUAUUACUCAUUGUAAAUCAAUGAGACUCAUUUUUAACAUCUUGAAAGUUGUAGGUCUAUGUAUUUUGCAUGUGUUUUUUUUAUUUAUUUAAAUCCUAGCAUGUUUACAAGUAGUUCACAUUUAAAAUGACACUAUAAUUGCAUAUACUAUAAAAGGUCAAUUUAAUCUGAUAUCGAAGCUUGAUAUUGAAUGAUCCAAGCAGUCAUAUGACCGACCUUCAACGUUGAAAUUUGGUUGAAAAAGCUUAGUUGUUUGUUCAACGUUGACACAACGUUGAAACAACAGUGAAUGGUAAACAGUUGCAAAGGGUCAAUAAAAUAAAUGUUUAAUGACAUUGUAAUUUGUGAAUCAUUCAGUAAAAAGCUGUAAAAACUCGUUUUAUGAAACUGAUAAAAAUACUAUUUAAAAAUUUACCAAAAGUAAUUGGGAGAGUUAAAAAUGUAAUAGACACAUGCAAAUAAACUAUUAUUAUUGUUGUUUUAUUGUUAUUAUAUUUUCAUCACAGUGUCUUAAAUAUAACAUGUUAAAUAUAAAUUUUAAGAAUACCAUUAAUAAUAAAAUACAUCAAGACUUUUAUCGGUUUAAUUCAUACAAGUCAGUUUGGAAUGUUUGAUCCUGACUAAAAAAGUAGCGAGGUAAUCUCGCGAGAUUACAGCCUCCCCAUAUAGAGAUUACACGAGACUGGAGAGUUUAACGGCUGUCUGCGUGAUCAUCGAGAAAGUGCAUUGAGGCGCCACAGACACCUCUGUCAGUCAUUUGUAAAGAGGAGCAGCACGGCAGCUGGAUGAGUGCGAGCCCUUCAAAUUAAAAAUAGUGAUGGUGAUCUUGUCAAUGCUGAGAUUUUAAUGCAUCAACAGCCAUUACAUCUGUCUGGAUCAGGAUUGAACAAGAAUCAGACAGCAAGGGUUGUCACAUCAGAAACGUAAUAACACAAACAUAAGAAACUUCACAGGGCUGUGACAGUGACAGUAUUUUACCACCGCGAUGGUAAUGCACCAAUUCACCACUGUGGUGCGGUGGUUAUAGAAUGUGUUUGUGUGAGGGGGGAGGCGGCAAUUUCUUUUUCCGCCGGUGGGUGCUCAUCACAACCUCAAGCUUUACUUCGCAAUGCCAGGUGCUCUAGAGUCUGGAGCGCUCAAAGGCUUUGAAGAGGUGGAAAGUGGCGCAGUCACGUUUUCGUGUGAAUUGUGAAGUUAAAGGCAGAUCACCGUGCAACUUGGUGAAGUCAUGUGUCUUUCCAGAUGGCCAAAUCUGUACCCCUCAAAAAAACUUUAUUAAAUGCCAUGAUAGACAAGAUGAGCCUUAAGAGGAGAUUUGGGAAGAUGCUGUUUCAUAAGUCUUUGCUUUGCCAGAUUAUUUGUGGUUGGGGUGUCUGCCAACGUGAUGCCUUGCUGGUCUGGUUUGAGUUUGAAGUCUCUCACAGACAGUCCAGAAGGUCUGGAGUCCAUCUUAGCUUUAAUUGAUGCUGUCAUCAUUUUUUAAGUGCAUGAGCCAGAAUGGACGGGUGGUGGUGGCCAUUAGAAGACUGUCAACUAAACUAGGGUGACCAUACGUGCCAUUCUUCCCGGACCCGUCCUGUCCAGUCUUUUGGAACUCGUAUUUGUCGACCGCAUACGUCACAGAGGAUUAUUAUUAUUAUUACAGAAAAGCAACCGUUACAUUUUAAGGUAAGAAUGAAACUACGAUUGUAUAUCUUAUGUUUUUAACUGAAUGGCGUAUGCGGUCAACAAAUACGACUUCCGGAAGACGCACCGAAAUCCUGGACGGGAUGCGUCCGGGAAGAAUGGCACGUAUGGUCACCCUAACUAAACCAACAACAAAAUUCAUAUUUGCAGUUAUAAAUAAAAUGACUUUUAAACCUGAUUUUGUUUUCUUAUUUUAUGAUUUCAUUCUAUAUUUGGAAUAUUCCAUUUUUGCACUACUAACUGGAAACUGUUUGAAAGAAUGUGUUUUUAUUAAAAGACAAAUUUCAAAGGUGAAUCAUAUGCCGGCUGGGAUAUCAAAAUAGCAUUAAAAUGACAUCAACAUCAUAACAUCCUGAUAUCA